GCCUGUUUAUCAAAAACAUGUCUUUUUGAAAAUAAUUUAAAGUCUAAUCUGCCCCCUGAUAAUUUAUUGAAGGGCUGCAGUAUUUUGACUGUACAAAGGUAGCAUAAUCAUUAGUCUUUUAAUUGGUGACUUGUAUGAAGGAUUGGAUGAGAUAUAAACUGUCUUAAAUAUAAAAAAAAAUUGAAUUUAAUUUUUUAAUUAAAAAGUUAAAAUAGAUUAAAAAGACGAGAAGACCCUAUAGAGUUUUAUAUUAUUUUAACUUUAAUUUAUUUAUAAAUUUAUUGAAUUUAAAUUUAAAAUAAUAUUUUGUUGGGGUGAUAGAAAAAUAAGAAAAACUUUUUUUUUAGUUAACCAUAAAUAAAUGAAUAUUUGAUCCAUUAAUAUUGAUUAUAAGAAAAAAUUACCUUAGGGAUAACAGCGUAAUUUUUUUUUUUAGUUUUUAUAAGAAAGAAAGUUUGCGACCUCGAUGUUGGAUUAAGAUAAAAUUUAA
Molecule: ribosomal RNA, 490 nt
Filed under: Actias sinensis subaurea
Lineage: Eukaryota; Metazoa; Arthropoda; Insecta; Lepidoptera; Saturniidae
Description: partial 16S ribosomal RNA
Rfam family: Archaeal large subunit ribosomal RNA (bases 1-163)
Source: RNAcentral